AGAAGCCUGUGAGCUCAGCGCCCAGGCAGGUCUCCCUUCCUCAGGCCGCGGAUCCUCGCUCUGCACAGUAGGGGGCGGGCUGUUCCUUUCCGGCCUGAGGAGGCCCCUGGCUUCCCGCGCCGACGUUUGACGUGUGGCAGGGACCCGAUUAGCGUUUCUUCAUCUCAGAUGGAGAUGUGUGUUGUGCAGAGACCGUGGCUGGGGCGCCACGAGGCUGCCCGACUGCAGGCGCCCGGCGGAACCCUCGCUCAGCCACUCGCUCCGCGCAGUCAGCUCUGCUGACUCUUCCGGAGGAUUCUGGAAGGUUCCAGAGGGUGUGCCGCCGAGGCCCUGCGAGAGGGCGUUCCCUGGGGAGAACAUUCCAGAGCAAGGUAACAUCCAUAAACGGAGGCUGAAACGGCCUGAGACGUCUCGGGAGUAACGAAGACCCCAAGGCGGCCCCAACUUGAGGGGGGCGAGGGAGAAUUUGGAAUCUUUGCUCAGACAGAGCCACGUGGCCACUGGACAUUUACCACCGCAGCCUCAGGCUUCCUUAUCAGCCGCCUCCAUCCAUGGUGACCUCAGGGGCAGGGCUGCAUGGAGAGGGGCGGCCCCUGCGACCCCCGCCGCCAGCCCGCCGGCCCUUGCCUGUUCUUCCAGGGCAAGCGUUUAAAGUCUCCGUGCUUCGUCUCAAAAACUAAGGUGAGUCCUGGAAGCAGCGAAAACAUAGUUCAGUUUCAAGGACCAUCAUCUGCAGAAUGAGACCACGGCCUUGAUGCAGCCGCCAGGACAAGCUGAAGCCCUGGCCCCUGCUCUGUUGAGAGCGGAUGGUACUGACUCUUCACAGCCAGGCCUGGCCGCCCACCAGAGCUCAGCGGCUGCUGGCUCCCUUGCCUCUGUGAGAGGCCGGCUCUCCGCACCCGCCUGGGGCUGUCAGUGCCCUGAUGACUCCAGGAUGGCCCUCCCCAAGUGUCAUGAAAACUCAGAGGCCUGAGGCCCAGCACAGGGUGACCGACACUGGCGCCUCUGAUGGUCCAAGCUGAACCCACGUGGAGGAGAGAGGACAGUCGCCCACCACUCCGAGACAUGCCUGUGGGUCACCAAGUGCACCGGUGCCCCUCACCUUGGUGUUCAUGACGGUUCAGGUGACUGUCCAGAAGUGUGUUGGUCAUGUGUUUGGAGGGAUUAAUUGGAAAUGGCGUUUUCUCUAAAUUUUUCUCUCUCAAA
Molecule: long non-coding RNA, 1206 nt
Organism: Pan troglodytes (chimpanzee)
Lineage: Eukaryota; Metazoa; Chordata; Mammalia; Primates; Hominidae
Exons: 6
Source: RefSeq, a predicted model, not a curated record